UACGUAGGGUGCAAGCGUUAAUCGGAAUUACGGGGCGUAAAGCGUGCGCAGGCGGUUCGCUAAGACCGAUGUGAAAUCCCCGGGCUUAACCUGGGAACUGCAUUGGUGACUGGCGGGCUAGAGUAUGGCAGAGGGGGGUAGAAUUCCACGUGUAGCAGUGAAAUGCGUAGAGAUGUGGAGGAAUACCGAUGGCGAAGGCAGCCCCCUGGGCCAAUACUGACGCUCAUGCACGAAAGCGUGGGGAGCAAACAGG
Molecule: ribosomal RNA, 253 nt
Filed under: uncultured bacterium
Lineage: Bacteria
Description: partial 16S ribosomal RNA
Rfam family: Bacterial small subunit ribosomal RNA
Source: RNAcentral